AGCAUCUGAUCUCCCGUGCUCGGGGGGAGGGAGAGAGAUGGUGCCUGGCCCCAGCCAGCCACAUGCCAGAAAGCCCUGCACAAGACAGCCUCGCAGGCCAGGCUCCGAGCCGGCCCUGGUUUGCUCCGCAACGCACUUUCUGCUUUGUUUUCUGGGCUGGAGCCCAGGCAGCCUGGGAACUGCAGCGCAGAAUCAGAGGCUGAUUUGAUCAGUAGAUUUCAGAGUCUGCUAUCGAUCAUUUGUAUUCACUCCAAGAGGGGUUCAGAAGAAAUUAAUGAGAAGCUGGAGUUACUGUUGGUGUGCAAACUUUUGAAAAAGAAGCAAUAAAAACAGAUGCACAGCAAAUGGAUACAUGAUACUUGAAAGACCCCAGGACCUUAACGAAGAAACACCAUGCUGACUAUUCAGCUCCCCCUUUGCAGUCCCCGUUAUUGGUAAUGGGCACAGGUAAAGGGUCUGUGAGGAUCUGUACAUGUGUACUGUUUCUUAAAAUAUUUGGUGGAAGCCCAGUAGGGUGGCCCUAGGGGAAGGAUGUGCGCCGAAGCUCUCCACCAUGGCAGAGUAUUUUUAAGGAUAACUGCUUUCUGUUAUUCUAAUAAAGUUCCUUCUUUGGUGCUAGAAGAACUCUUUUUCUGAUUCUCUACCACUGUCACAUGACAGGCAGCCUUGAAAUUUACAGACAUAGGACAUGAAAAAUGAGAAAUAAAAGAUGUUACAUCGUGUGUAAGUGUGAGAGUAAAUUACUCAGGCUUCAUUCUGCCCGGUACAUAAUUAGCAUAAAUGUUUAACCCCUCCCCCCCGCCCCCCCAAAAAAAGAAGUUCAACACUGAGAGCCUUUCACUUACACACUCAAACAGCACCUUGUGAAAGGGUCAGCUUGCUCAGAGUAAGCCAAUCAGAGGGUAGCUCCCUCCUUAGAUCUGCUACAGGGACAACCAGCUCCUGGUUUGUUUCAACAAUCCUCUCCCAGCUGCUUACUCUCUCUGUUCUCUCCCUGCAGAGAUAAAUUCAUCUUCAGCAGGAUACAGAUUGCAGAGCCGCAACACCAGUGAUCACCUUGUUUCUCCUUUCCCCUGUUUAAUGAUAGGGCUUGUGCUACCACAGUAGACAGCUAUUUUUUUCUGUCCUGCCCUCUUCCAAUAAACCUUUUAACCAUGCUGGUUUUAAAUCCAAAUCUAAAUCAGGAAAUAAUUUUGGGCAAUAGACAGACAUUUGAUUAAAAAAAAAAAAACAAAUGAACAUUAACUUGGCUCCU
This is a long non-coding RNA of Chelonia mydas (Green sea turtle), 1255 nucleotides long. RefSeq lists it as uncharacterized. The record is from RefSeq and is a predicted model, not a curated record. The transcript is spliced from 3 exons. Lineage: Eukaryota; Metazoa; Chordata; Testudines; Cheloniidae.